UGACGUUGGGAAAGCGAGCGGCGGAUGGGUGAGUAACACGUGGGGAACCUGCCCCUAAGUCUGGGAUACCAUUUGGAAACAGGUGCUAAUACCGGAUAAUAAAGCAGAUCGCAUGAUCAGCUUUUGAAAGGCGGCGUAAGCUGUCGCUAAGGGAUGGCCCCGCGGUGCAUUAGCUAGUUGGUAAGGUAACGGCUUACCAAGGCGACGAUGCAUAGCCGAGUUGAGAGACUGAUCGGCCACAUUGGGACUGAGACACGGCCCAAACUCCUACGGGAGGCAGCAGUAGGGAAUCUUCCACAAUGGACGCAAGUCUGAUGGAGCAACGCCGCGUGAGUGAAGAAGGUUUUCGGAUCGUAAAGCUCUGUUGUUGGUGAAGAAGGAUAGAGGUAGUAACUGGCCUUUAUUUGACGGUAAUCAACCAGAAAGUCACGGCUAACUACGUGCCAGCAGCCGCGGUAAUACGUAGGUGGCAAGCGUUGUCCGGAUUUAUUGGGCGUAAAGCGAGCGCAGGCGGAAAAAUAAGUCUAAUGUGAAAGCCCUCGGCUUAACCGAGGAACUGCAUCGGAAACUGUUUUUCUUGAGUGCAGAAGAGGAGAGUGGAACUCCAUGUGUAGCGGUGGAAUGCGUAGAUAUAUGGAAGAACACCAGUGGCGAAGGCGGCUCUCUGGUCUGCAACUGACGCUGAGGCUCGAAAGCAUGGGUAGCGAACAGGAUUAGAUACCCUGGUAGUCCAUGCCGUAACGAUGAGUGCUAAGUGUUGGGA
RNAcentral lists this ribosomal RNA (763 nucleotides) under uncultured bacterium. Its description in RNAcentral is "bacterial SSU rRNA". It matches the Rfam family "Bacterial small subunit ribosomal RNA", at positions 78 to 828 of the family's 1533-position model. The record is from RNAcentral.